UUUUGGUUUUUUGUUUGUUUGUUUUUUCUUCCUUUACUCUGUCCAGGCUCCCAGGUCUCCCCAGCAUCUCUGCCCCUGAGCUCUGCAUCCCUCUGUGCUGGUCUGUGGCCCAGCCACCCUUUCCUGAGCUUGAUCACGGUGACAUCUGGUCCCUGCAUAACUCGCAUUCCUCAGGGGGAGGGGGGAAGCUGCUGGCCACCGGGAAGGGCCACAUCCUUCUCUGGGCCACUCCGGAUGAGCUCAGCCAAAUCCCUCGGCCGUAUCCACCCCUGCAGACAGACCCAGCCCUGUCCCAGAUGCUCAUCCCGGGCAAAAAAAAGAGGUGGCCAAGGGAUGAGCAGGCUGCAGGUUCCCCUUUCCUUCUGGCUUCUGAGGGGGAAGGUGAGGUUCCUCAGUGUCACAAGCUGACCCCGGGCCAUGGAGCUUUUGCUAAACCACUAAUCACCACAAAAACCCUCAAAAAAAAUCCCCAGAAACAGCAACUGUGCAGCUGAGCUGGUGUCACUCAGUAUGAAAGGUGCAAAAAGCACCGACUGCUGCACAGUGUGGGAUGGAUUCUGCAAAACCAUGGAAAAUCCUCCUGGAUAAGGGCAUUUGUGCCAGGAAGUGCCCGGAGAGGAGCCAGCCCCCUACAUCUGCCCUCAAGGACUUUGCCUUUCACCAGCCCUGCUGCCUGCCCAGGAUGUCCCUGGAGAAGCCUCCCCACCAACAAGAGUCACCCAAAGGAGAUGAGCCAUGGCUGGGCUCUGCUCCUGUCUGUGCCCAGGGAAUGAGGGAGGAAGCAUCAUGGAGAGGAGCCUCCAAACAGGCUCACCCCACUUGGACAAAGGAAGGUGUUUUUUUUAAAUAAGAAUACAACUUCCCACAAGUUAUAGCUCAUAUCUGCACCAAGUGACCUGCUCAACUCAGCUGGGAGAUGUCUUUGCAAAGCUUCCCCUCUGAUCUGGGUCACUGAGCAAAGACAUAACCCUUACACCUCUUUGCCUCCAAUGCUGUGUCUGCCUUAAGGGGUAUUUUCAAGCAGAGCCAGUGAACCAAGCUCUCUGCCACCCUUUCU
Long non-coding RNA from Calypte anna (Anna's hummingbird), 1057 nucleotides. RefSeq lists it as uncharacterized. The record is from RefSeq and is a predicted model, not a curated record. The transcript has 4 exons. NCBI's taxonomy places the organism in Eukaryota, Metazoa, Chordata, Aves, Apodiformes, Trochilidae.